GCUGGGUGUGGUGGUGCGUGCCUGUUGUCCCAGCUCUUCUGGAGGCUGACGCUGGAGGAUCUCUUGAGCCCAGGAGUUCUGGGCUGUCGUGCACUAUGCCAAUCGGGUGUCCGCACUAAGUUCGGCCUCAAUAUGGUGACCUCCCGGGAGCGGGGGACAACCAGGUUGCCUAAGGAGGGGUGAACUGGCCCAGGUCGGAAACAGAGCAGGUCAAAACUCCCGUCUCCCAUGCUGAUCAGUAGUGGGAUCACGCCUGUGAAUAGCCACUGCACUCCAGCCCGGGCAACAUAGGGAGACCUUGUCUCUU
Unclassified non-coding RNA from Callithrix jacchus (white-tufted-ear marmoset), 307 nucleotides. It matches the Rfam family "Metazoan signal recognition particle RNA". Rfam says of the family: The signal recognition particle (SRP) is a universally conserved ribonucleoprotein. The record is from Ensembl. Lineage: Eukaryota; Metazoa; Chordata; Mammalia; Primates; Cebidae.